UACGUAGGGGGGCAAGCGUUGUCCGGAAUCAUUGGGCGUAAAGCGCGCGUAGGCGGCCCGGUAAGUCCGUUGUGAAAGUCAAAGGCUCAACCUUUGAACGCCGAUGGAUACUGCCGGGCUAGAGUCCGGAAGAGGCGAGUGGAAUUCCUGGUGUAGCGGUGGAAUGCGCAGAUAUCAGGAGGAACACCAAUAGCGAAGGCAGCUCGCUGGGACGGUACUGACACUAAGGCGCGAAAGCGGUGGGGAGCGAACAGG
RNAcentral lists this ribosomal RNA (255 nucleotides) under uncultured bacterium. RNAcentral's name for it is "partial 16S ribosomal RNA". It matches the Rfam family "Bacterial small subunit ribosomal RNA", at positions 524 to 776 of the family's 1533-position model. The record is from RNAcentral.